CGUACACUCCUGCGGGAGGCAGCAGUGGGGAAUAUUGCACAAUGGGCGCAAGCCUGAUGCAGCCAUGCCGCGUGUAUGAAGAAGGCCUUCGGGUUGUAAAGUACUUUCAGCGGGGAGGAAGGCAAUACGGUUAAUAACCGUGUUGAUUGACGUUACCCGCAGAAGAAGCACCGGCUAACUCCGUGCCAGCAGCCGCGGUAAUACGGAGGGUGCAAGCGUUAAUCGGAAUUACUGGGCGUAAAGCGCACGCAGGCGGUCUGUCAAGUCGGAUGUGAAAUCCCCGGGCUCAACCUGGGAACUGCAUUCGAAACUGGCAGGCUUGAGUCUUGUAGAGGGGGGUAGAAUUCCAGGUGUAGCGGUGAAAUGCGUAGAGAUCUGGAGGAAUACCGGUGGCGAAGGCGGCCCCCUGGACAAAGACUGACGCUCAGGUGCGAAAGCGUGGGGAGCAAACAGGAUUAGAUACCCGAGUAGUCCCA
This 476-nucleotide ribosomal RNA is filed under the name uncultured organism. Its description in RNAcentral is "partial 16S ribosomal RNA". It matches the Rfam family "Bacterial small subunit ribosomal RNA", at positions 330 to 797 of the family's 1533-position model. The record is from RNAcentral.